Molecule: unclassified non-coding RNA, 482 nt
Filed under: Hevea brasiliensis (rubber tree)
Lineage: Eukaryota; Viridiplantae; Streptophyta; Magnoliopsida; Malpighiales; Euphorbiaceae
Source: RNAcentral
UCUUGAUUCUGAGGAUGAGAGGUUAAAUAGCUUUGCACCAACUUCUGUAAUGGUACGCUCAUGUUUUGCUGGGGUCGAGGUCGUUAUCAACAGUGGUUUUGGGAAGCAAGUUUUGCACCUUUCAAGAGCACUGGAAUUGCUACUAGAAGAAGGGCUAGAUGUUUUUAGUUGCAUUUCCACCCGAGUAAAUCAAAGAGUUAUCCAUACCAUUCAAUCUGAGGUGAGCUACAUGACAUGCAUUGAUAUAUCUGAGCUGCAAAAUAAACUAAUUGAAGCAAUUCCUUCAACAAGUACUGAAAAUUCCAAUUAAUUAACAAUAUAUCCAUACAUGUUCAUUAGGAAUUAAAUCCUCCAGCACAAAGGGCAUCAUCUGAUUAAUUUUCAUUUCAUGAAAGCUUGAGGUUGGUUCUGUUCAUUUUUGUAUGAAUAUAAAAAUAUUGCACCCAAUCUGUUUGUAAGAUACUGAUUAGCUGGACUGCGAC